This 253-nucleotide ribosomal RNA is filed under the name uncultured bacterium. RNAcentral's name for it is "partial 16S ribosomal RNA". It matches the Rfam family "Bacterial small subunit ribosomal RNA", at positions 524 to 776 of the family's 1533-position model. The record is from RNAcentral.
UACGUAGGGGGCAAGCGUUGUCCGGAUUUAUUGGGCGUAAAGAGCGUGUAGGCGGUUAUACAGGUCCGCUGUGAAAACUGGAGGCUUAACCUCCAGACGUCGGUGGAAACCGUAUGACUAGAGUCCGGAAGAGGAGAGUGGAAUUCCUGGUGUAGCGGUGAAAUGCGCAGAUAUCAGGAAGAAUACCCGUGGCGAAGGCGGCUCUCUGGGACGGUACUGACGCUGAGACGCGAAAGCGUGGGGAGCGAACAGG